This is an RNA transcript of Magnolia sinica, 1787 nucleotides long. It is a transcript of the gene named protein arginine N-methyltransferase 7-like, with no coding region annotated. The record is from RefSeq and is a predicted model, not a curated record. The transcript has 3 exons. NCBI's taxonomy places the organism in Eukaryota, Viridiplantae, Streptophyta, Magnoliopsida, Magnoliales, Magnoliaceae.
UUACAUGGGCUUGUCAUGCUGUCUUGAAUUAUCAUUAAAAAAGAGUUGAAUUCAUCAAGAUAAAUUGAACCUGGUUUCAGGUUUUAUUUGCCAGAAUCCUGUGGCCACUUUGAGUUUGACCUUGCAAAUUACCCAGAUAAUGAUAAAAAGAAGACAAAAAUAUUUGUUGAGAUAAACUGAAAUUUAGUACCAUUCACUGUGGGGCUUUUGGAUGAAAUUAAACUCACAUGGUGGCCAUGUUCUGGUGUCUCAGCUGGUUGAAAGCACAUUCUUAUGGAAGCUACAUGAUCUACAUGGUAGUGAAGUUCAUGCAUCAGACAGCAUCCAUCUUACUCCCGUAGGAUUGGAGACGGGUAUUUGUGUCAAACCUCAGCAAUACGCCAUGCAUUGCAACGCAAUGUCAUCAGAGAUAAGAUUGUAUUCUCACAGCUAUCAAAGCCCUUCAAAAUUUUUGAAUUCGACUUUUGGAAACGGCCAAACAGUCAUGGAGAAACUGAGCUACACAUACAGGCAAGUGACAAUGGCACAGUUCAUGCUGUAAUUUCAUGGUGGGUGCUUCAACUUGAUUAUGAGGGGAGAAUCUUCUAUUCUACAGCACCACUAUGGAUAAGUUCGCCCUUCAACACUAGGGAAGAAGUUACAUAUGCUCCUGGUGAGUUUAUCCAUUUGGUGUGGUUCAAUGACCUAGAAUUGGCAUUUUGUUUUAGAAUGCCUCAGCAAAACUGAGGUGGAAAGAACAAUUACAACCCGAAAUCCCAAGAAUUGGCAAUUGAGGCGGGAAGAAACUAUAAAAUACUAGGAAUCUCAUAGAAUUAUUCAUUUUUAUGAAUGAAUUGUUUAUUCGGUUAAUUUGGAAGUAGUCGAAUUUGAUGCGGACAUCAGUGGUGCACCCUUUAGAGUGUAUCAAAGAAGGAGGCGUCGCCGACAAAGUACCAAAGCAAAGGAGUUGAUGUGGAGAGACGUCGGGUCCAUUGGACCCAUUUUUUGACGUGCUACGAGUGUAUGAGUGGAAUGAUUGCACACUGACCGAGGGCCCACGGGGCAGAUUUCAUACCUGUCGCGCGGGUGUUUUAGUUUUACAUGUUUUUUAUUCUUUUCCUUGUUUUCAAGGGCUUUAGUCCACUUUUUAAAAUUUUUAUUUUUUUGUUAUUUUCCCUGUUUUCAGGGGCUUUAGUGCACUUUUACUUUUUCCAUAGCUUAUAUAUACACUGUGAGAAGCCCUAUUCUAUUUAUUGAAUGAAUGAGAAUUCGUAUGCUUUCUUCCUCUUUUUAUCAAAGAGAUUAGGGUUUCAAGAUUGGCCCUUGGGUGUUGAGGAUUUCAUCUCGGUUUUAGGUUUCUUUCCUUCUAGAUCUUCAAGAUGUAGGAAAAGGUAAGAAUCAAUCGUCUUAUUUUCUCUGAUGCCCUAGAAUCCAUACUUUUUUUUUCGUCUCGAACCCAUAUCUUCUUCAUCUCUUUCGUUCCUUUCUGGAUAUUCUAUUUUGGUUUGAACGGGAAAGAGGGAUGGCUAGUCAGGAUAAUCGGAUCCAAACUUCACCGUGGACUGACUUAUGCUAGAUCUAGGAUAUCCUCAUAUCCCUAUGUCCUCCCUUUUGACUGUUUACGUGAUUUUAUGCUAAGGGGCAUGAUCCCGACGGAAUGAUUUCAUCUCUGUGUUGAGAUUUGCUUAAUCAGUGUGAUUGAUAACAGUUAGUUGAUUAAUUUUAUUAUUUGAAUCUCUUCAACCUGAUUAUACAUGCAUCUAUGGUUAGGCCAUCACAUGUCCCUGCAUCAAUAUCCUGUUUAGAUC